RNAcentral lists this ribosomal RNA (391 nucleotides) under uncultured bacterium. Its description in RNAcentral is "partial 16S ribosomal RNA". It matches the Rfam family "Bacterial small subunit ribosomal RNA", at positions 523 to 917 of the family's 1533-position model. The record is from RNAcentral.
AUACGGAGGAUCCGAGCGUUAUCCGGAUUUAUUGGGUUUAAAGGGUGCGCAGGCGGCCAUUUAAGUCAGCGGUUAAAUCGUGGGGCUCAACCCCAUUCUGCCGUUGAUACUGGGUGGCUUGAUUGCGGUCGAGGUUGGCGGAAUUCGUUGUGUAGCGGUGAAAUGCAUAGAUAUGACGAAGAACACCGAUUGCGUAGGCAGCUGACCAGACCGCAAAUGACGCUCAUGCACGAAAGUGCGGGGAUCGAACAGGAUUAGAUACCCUGGUAGUCCGCACAGUAAACGAUGAAUACUUGUUUUCGGCGAUAUAAUGUCGGAGGCAAAGCGAAAGAGAUAAGUAUUCCACCUGGGGAGUACGCCGGCAACGGUGAAACUCAAAGGAAUUUGCGGG